Molecule: long non-coding RNA, 835 nt
Organism: Cynoglossus semilaevis (tongue sole)
Lineage: Eukaryota; Metazoa; Chordata; Actinopteri; Pleuronectiformes; Cynoglossidae
Exons: 3
Source: RefSeq, a predicted model, not a curated record
GUGACGGAGACAGUGAUGGAGACAGUGACGGUGAUAGUGACGGAGACAGUGAGGGAGACAGUGACGGAGACAGUGACGGAGACAGUGAUGGAGACAGUGACGGAGACAGUGAUGGACAGACGCAGCUCAGAUUAAAACGGUUUGAAAUCAGAGCCUGGGGUCAGGGAGGGGCAGGAGUUAAGGUGUGUGUGUGUGUGCGUCUUCACGUCGUCCUCCCACUCUUAUUGGACGGUUAGUGGGCUGUGUGUGUGUGUGUGUGUGUUUUCUUCUUUUAUUAAACUUCUUCAGAUAUUAUCCUGGUUUGUAAGGCAGAGAGGAGAGACCGACAGCAGACGCUCAGUUAUUAGAGUGAUGUCAGGUGGAACUGUGUGAGUGUGAGUGAGAGUGUGUGUGUGUGUGUGUGUGUGAGUGUGUGUGUGAGUGUGUCAGGUAUGGAGCUGAAUACAGUUGAAAUGCUGCUGACCUUCAGGAGCAGCUAAAUGACAGGUGGGAUCAGAGCUCCUUUGGUUUGUUAAUGAAGCCGCUGACAUUUGAAGAUCAGCGUCGGCAUGAAGACCACCAGACGUCAGUGAGGUCAAAGGUCGUGGGUCAAAGGUCGAGGGUCGAGGGUCCAGGGUCGAGGACACCAGGUCCAUCAGCGUCUGACUAACAGACGUUGUGAGUCUGUAAAGGUCGUCCAACACCUCCUCCUGUGGGUCAGUCCCUGUAGGUGGACUGACCUACAUGGACCGCGGUCCAGCCUGUCUUCAGAGACCUGUCCAAAGGUCCUGUCCGUCCCUCCUGUCCUGCACCAGUGCUCCUUCAGGAGCUCCUCUCUGGAGCCGGACUCUUAACC